This is a long non-coding RNA of Venturia canescens, 336 nucleotides long. RefSeq lists it as uncharacterized. The transcript has 3 exons. NCBI's taxonomy places the organism in Eukaryota, Metazoa, Arthropoda, Insecta, Hymenoptera, Ichneumonidae. The record is from RefSeq and is a predicted model, not a curated record.
AGGAGGAGCGUCUAAACGAGGAGCGAUUAGAAGCUAGACGCUUCGCCCUAUGGUUUCAAGAGCUGAUGGAGUGUGAUUCAGGGUACUCGUCAGUUGACUCGUCAGCUGACUCGUUAUUGGCGUACCGCGAUUAGUACGAGAUAUACAAACGGGCGGGGGAAGAACGCGCAAUACACAGGGGAACGAGGCUUUCGGGGAUGUGCAACCCCCGGGAGGGCGGAUCAUCAUCACGCACGAUACAGCCCGUUAUUUCAAACGUUUUCAACUACGUGGUCGGGAGAUAACAUUGCGUAUCCGCCAACCUCACGCUGGCGCAAACGUGACAGCAUGGCUUGA